CUGGCAUCCCCCCAGCCCUCUCUGAGUUCCGACCCGUCCCGGCUCCAUCCCCGCCGCUCCCGCGGGCUGCGAGGGCUCCGGCAGCGGGCGAGGAGGAGGAGGGAGGGAGGAAGAGGCGGAGCGGCAGCAGAAGCAGCAGGAGGAGAGGACGGGGAACCGCGCGGCUCCGGCGCUGCCUGAGCUCGCAGCACCCCGGGAGCAUCGCCCCCCAUCCCGCAGGUUUCCCAUUCCCAAACCUAGGCUGAAUAGAGAAGGAGGCUUUCAGAAAGGAAUAUGCCCCAGGACACCCAGGCAGACAAGGAGCUGAGGAUGGAGACCAGGGAGGACAAAUCCCCACAGAAGAACCAUGAGGAAGAGGCUAUUUUGAGUGACUCCAUGGCACAGGAUGUCAACAGGGAGGAAAAUCAUUGGAGAUCCCACAGGAGGAGGGGCUGUG
Motacilla alba alba is the source of this 436-nucleotide long non-coding RNA. RefSeq lists it as uncharacterized. The transcript is spliced from 3 exons. Lineage: Eukaryota; Metazoa; Chordata; Aves; Passeriformes; Motacillidae. The record is from RefSeq and is a predicted model, not a curated record.